GCUUAACGUUGCGCGUGCAGUGGGUACGGGCUGACUAGAGUGCAGUAGGGGAGUCUGGAAUUCCUGGUGUAGCGGUGAAAUGCGCAGAUAUCAGGAGGAACACCGGUGGCGAAGGCGGGACUCUGGGCUGUAACUGACACUGAGGAGCGAAAGCAUGGGGAGCGAACAGGAUUAGAUACCCUGGUAGUCCAUGCCGUAAACGUUGGGCACUAGGUGUGGGGGACAUUCCACGUUCUCCGCGCCGUAGCUAACGCAUUAAGUGCCCCGCCUGGGGAGUACGGUCGCAAGGCUAAAACUCAAAGGAAUUGACGGGGGCCCGCACAAGCGGCGGAGCAUGCGGAUUAAUUCGAUGCAACGCGAAGAACCUUACCAAGGCUUGACAUACACUGGACCGUUCUGGAAACAGUUCUUCUCUUUGGAGCUGGUGUACAGGUGGUGCAUGGUUGUCGUCAGCUCGUGUCGUGAGAUGUUGGGUUAAGUCCCGCAACGAGCGCAACCCUCGUUCUAUGUUGUCAGCACGUGAUGGUGGGAACUCAUAGGAGACUGCCGGGGUCAACUCGGAGGAAGGUGGGGAUGACGUCAAAUCAUCAUGCCCUUUAUGUCUUGGGGCUUCACGCAUGCUACAAUGGCUGGUACAGAG
RNAcentral lists this ribosomal RNA (640 nucleotides) under uncultured bacterium. Its description in RNAcentral is "bacterial SSU rRNA". It matches the Rfam family "Bacterial small subunit ribosomal RNA", at positions 607 to 1244 of the family's 1533-position model. The record is from RNAcentral.